Molecule: ribosomal RNA, 448 nt
Filed under: uncultured Microbacteriaceae bacterium
Lineage: Bacteria; Bacillati; Actinomycetota; Actinomycetes; Micrococcales; Microbacteriaceae
Description: bacterial SSU rRNA
Rfam family: Bacterial small subunit ribosomal RNA
Source: RNAcentral
UGCCUACGGGGGGCUGCAUUGGGGAAUAUUGCACAAUGGGCGCAAGCCUGAUGCAGCAACGCCGCGUGAGGGACGACGGCCUUCGGGUUGUAAACCUCUUUUGGCAGGGAAGAAGCGCAAGUGACGGUACCUGCAGAAAAAGCACCGGCUAACUACGUGCCAGCAGCCGCGGUAAUACGUAGGGUGCAAGCGUUGUCCGGAAUUAUUGGGCGUAAAGAGCUCGUAGGCGGUCUGUCGCGUCUGCUGUGAAAACCCGAGGCUCAACCUCGGGCCUGCAGUGGGUACGGGCAGACUAGAGUGCGGUAGGGGAGAUUGGAAUUCCUGGUGUAGCGGUGGAAUGCGCAGAUAUCAGGAGGAACACCGAUGGCGAAGGCAGAUCUCUGGGCCGUAACUGACGCUGAGGAGCGAAAGCGUGGGGAGCGAACAGGAUUAGAUACCCUUGUAGUCG